AGGGGAGUGAAAAAGAACCUGAAACCGUGUACGUACAAGCAGUGGGAGCACCCUUUGGGGUGUGACUGCGUACCUUUUGUAUAAUGGGUCAGCGACUUAUAUUCUGUAGCAAGGUUAACCGUAUAGGGGAGCCGGAGGGAAACCGAGUCUUAACCGGGCGUUAAGUUGCAGGGUAUAGACCCGAAACCCGGUGAUCUAGCCAUGGGCAGGUUGAAGGUUGGGUAACACUAACUGGAGGACCGAACCGACUAAUGUUGAAAAAUUAGCGGAUGACCUGUGGCUGGGGGUGAAAGGCCAAUCAAACCGGGAGAUAGCUGGUUCUCCCCGAAAGCUAUUUAGGUAGCGCCUCGUGAAUUCAUCUCCGGGGGUAGAGCACUGUUUCGGCUAGGGGGCCAUCCCGGCUUACCAACCCGAUGCAAACUGCGAAUACCGGAGAAUGUUAUCACGGGAGACACACGGCGGGUGCUAACGUCCGUCGUGAAGAGGGAAACAACCCAGACCGCCAGCUAAGGUCCCAAAGUCAUGGUUAAGUGGGAAACGAUGUGGGAAGGCCCAGACAGCCAGGAUGUUGGCUUAGAAGCAGCCAUCAUUUAAAGAAAGCGUAAUAGCUCACUGGUCGAGUCGGCCUGCGCGGAAGAUGUAACGGGGCUAAACCAUGCACCGAAGCUGCGGCAGCGACACUCAGGUGUUGUUGGGUAGGGGAGCGUUCUGUAAGCCUG
This 719-nucleotide ribosomal RNA is filed under the name Salmonella enterica subsp. enterica serovar Montevideo. RNAcentral's name for it is "partial 23S ribosomal RNA". It matches the Rfam family "Bacterial large subunit ribosomal RNA", at positions 532 to 1251 of the family's 2925-position model. The record is from RNAcentral. Lineage: Bacteria; Pseudomonadati; Pseudomonadota; Gammaproteobacteria; Enterobacterales; Enterobacteriaceae.